UCAUUGUCUGCAAGCAUGUUUUCUAUCACGUCAUUAAGCACUGUUUUAACAGCUGCUUUAAAAUAUUUUCUUGAUACUUCCAACUUCUGCAUCAUCCUUAUAUUGGGCUGCAUUGAUGGCCCUUUUUUUAGAAUUGGUCAUCUUUUUCUGGUUUUUCAUGUAAGUCACUUGAGAUUAUAUACCAUAAUUGUAAAAGUUAUAUUGAGAAGUCUCUUUUCUCUUAUAUUUCUCCAAAAAAAGUGUUCUUUCUUUCUCUCUCUCUUUCUUUUUUUUCUUUCUUUCUUCCUCUUUCUUCUUUCUCUCUCUCUCUCUCUCUCUUUUUUAAUGGAUUUCCUCUGUCAGCUGGGGUUACAGGUGUGUGCCACCAUCACCAGCUAAUCUUUUGUAUUUUUGAUGGGAUUUUGCCAUGUUGGCCAGAUUGGUCUCAAACUGGCCUCAAGCAAUCUGCUCCCCUCAGCCUUCCAAAGCAUUGGGAUUACAGACGUGAGCCACUGCACUUGGCCAAUUUUCCUUCCUUAGCAAGGAAUUGGUGUAGUUGGACUUAAAUUUAAAUCUCUAUCUUUGGGGUAGCAGGUCAAACCUCAGUCCUGUUCUCUCAUUGUUACCGUAACCUGGCUUGUGCUUGCAUCAGUCAGAGAUUUAGGGGAAAAAAAUAUACACAGAAGUUAAGAGUAUCUCCUCCAUGUUUUUUAUUUUAUAAAAUUGAUUCUUCAUUUUCAGCGUCUGUGGUCCUCCUAACUCUAUUCUCCAUUACUGAGGCACGGUGGCUUAUGCCUAUAAUCCCAGCACUUUGGGAGGCUGAGGCAGGCAGAUCACAAGGUCAGGAGAUGGAGACCAUUCUGGCUAACAUGGUGAAACUCUGCCUCUACUAAAAUACAAAAAAUUAGUUAGGUGUGGUGGCAGACACCUGUAGUCCCAGCUACUCUGGGGUAGGCUGAUGCAGGAGAAUCACUUGAACUGGGGAGGCAGAGGUUGCAGUGAGUCAAGAUCAUGUUACUACACUCCAGCCUGGUGACAGAGCAAAACUCUGUCCAAAAAAAAGGCUGAAAGUUUUUUAUUCACAUUUUACUCACUCUACAUAGGACUAAGAUUGGCCUAAGGCUAACAAUUGUAAAAAUGAUUAACUUUUGCCCUGCCAUAACUUCUUUGAAGUGUCAUCUCCCCUCCAAGAUUAAGAUGUACAACUUUCAACAAACAAGUAAGAGGUAUAUGAAAAGACCGCACACAAAAACCAAACACACUCCUGAGAAUAAAGAGGGAUACUAUAUAAAAAUAAAGGACUUGUAUACUAGGCUGUUUCAGUAAAGUAUCACAGAGUAGGUAGCUUAAGCAACAGAAAUUUAUUUUUCACUGUUCUAAAGCCUAGAAGUCCAAGAUCAAGGUGUUGGCAGGUUUGGUUUCUUCUCAGGCAUCCCUCCUUGGUUUUCAGAUGACCACCCUUUUGCUGUACCUUCACAUGACAUUUCUUCAAUAUGUGUACAUCUCUGAUGUCUCUGCAUGUCCAAAUUUCUUCUUCUUUCAAAGACAUUGUCAGAUUGGAUUAGGGCCCACCCCAAUGGCCUCAUUAAAUCAAAUCUAUUUUGACAUAUGCAUAUAGAAGUUCCUGGAUUUCAGUGCUGAGGAUAUAGAGGCUACUGGAAUCCAUAUGUUUGCCUCUGAGGUCUUCUCUGGAAGAGGUCUCUGAUGAAGAGAACAAAAUUCUUGCUUGAUAUCACAGCUUGAGUAAGAGGAACGGGAUAAGUUCUUGGCAGCCACCAGCUGCCAGGAGAUGGCUGAAAUAUAUUACUGGGAAAUUCAAGGCUAAUCAAUAGAAUUAUCUGAAGAUAAACUCUCUGGGACAUCAAAUUGCGUUUAUCAAAUUGUCAUGCCCUGUUUGAGUCACAGUUUGUGUUAGUCAGAGAUGCAGUGAAGUCUAAGGAGGAUGGGGAAGAGUGAUUGGUGGUAGAGAUAAAAGACAAAUGAAUCAGUGGGAUCAAUGGAGAGGACCAAGUUUGGUGAGAAGACAAUACCAUGACAGAAGGUGUCCAGAGACAGUGAGACACAGAUAACAGGAACAGGAUCCUGUUCCAUGCUCCAGGAAAAGCAUGGAAAAGGCAAGUGGUAAGGGCAGAAGACAGUUCUACAAGAACAUGAAGUCCAGUCAUGCAAAGGGCAGGGGAGGCAGAAACACAGUGGUGAAGGUCAGCCAGAGAGAAGAUGUGGGGAGCAAGGACUCAUGGUAGAGAAGACCCUGGUUUACCAAGAUGAGAAAGUCAACUGUGAAGGUGAACUAAGAACACAUGAGGGAUGAGUGGAACCCAGGGGCCAGAAAGUCUUUGAAGGUAGACGAUAUAAGACAAUUUAUGGGCAGGAAGAAAAACAUUAGUGAAAAUAUGCAGGCCAGUGUCAGAGGGACCUCAGCAGAGAGAAGGCCAGUUAUGUGAGUUAAAGGAGUGCUGCAGGAACAGGACCCAGUGUGAAGAUUAUGA
Molecule: non-coding RNA, 2468 nt
Organism: Callithrix jacchus (white-tufted-ear marmoset)
Lineage: Eukaryota; Metazoa; Chordata; Mammalia; Primates; Cebidae
Source: RefSeq, a predicted model, not a curated record